GGAUUGAUCACCAUCUUCAUGAUGAUUUUAUGAUCGAAGGUAUUUAAAAAUUAAAUACAUGUCUCUAAUUCUAAACUCUUUGAGAAUAUAUAUCAAAAGUUAAUUUCAUGGAUGAUUCAAGGACACAUCAUACUUGAAUGAAAAAUAAAUUUAUCUUUUUAUUAAUCAAAUCAAUAUAUUAAGUAUAAAAUUAUGUCCUAGAUUUAUUAUAAUGUGUUAGC
RNAcentral lists this long non-coding RNA (221 nucleotides) under Elaeis guineensis (African oil palm). RNAcentral describes it as "long non-coding RNA (EGUI_LNC026015)". Lineage: Eukaryota; Viridiplantae; Streptophyta; Magnoliopsida; Arecales; Arecaceae. The record is from RNAcentral.